RNAcentral lists this ribosomal RNA (510 nucleotides) under uncultured bacterium. RNAcentral's name for it is "partial 16S ribosomal RNA". It matches the Rfam family "Bacterial small subunit ribosomal RNA", at positions 28 to 507 of the family's 1533-position model. The record is from RNAcentral.
GACGAACGCUGGCGGCGUGCUUAACACAUGCAAGUCGAACGAAGAGCGAUGGACGCUUGCUUCUCUCAAUCUUAGUGGCGAACGGGUGAGUAACGCGUAAUCAACCUGCCCUUCAGAGGGGGACAACAGUUGGAAACGACUGCUAAUACCGCAUACGAUCUGACCUCGGCAUCGAGGAUAGAUGAAAGGUGGCCUCUACAUGUAAGCUAUCACUGAAGGAGGGGAUUGCGUCUGAUUAGCUAGUUGGAGGGGUAACGGCCCACCAAGGCGAUGAUCAGUAGCCGGUCGGAGAGGGUGGACGGCCACAUUGGGACUGAGACACGGCCCAGACUCCUACGGGAGGCAGCAGUGGGGAAUCUUCCGCAAUGGACGAAAGUCUGACGGAGCAACGCCGCGGGAGUGAUGACGGCCUUCGGGUUGUAAAGCUCUGUUAAUCGGGACGAAAGGCCUUUUUGCGAAUAGUGAGAAGGAUUGACGGUACCGGAAUAGAAAGCCACGGCUAACUACGUG